CACUCUUGGACAGGUACGUGCUGUGCAGCACGCGAAACACUGGAGACGGUAAAGAAUGAAGAGGAAGGGAACCACCAGCAGCUUUUCCCAGCUUAAAAGAAGAGAGGAGGAAGAGCAUCCCAGAGAGGAGAUGGAGGAGGAAGAGUUCAGAGAGAGAGAAAGAAAUGAAGGCAUGGAGAGCUCAGACAGCGAAAGAUUGGAGAUGCCGUUGGAGGCGGUGCUGCUGCUGUGAUGACCAGAUGCGAGCAGGGGUCGAGAGGUACAGGAUGCCACGGUUGGUUUCCUGUGCAGCUGCAAAGGAGCUGUGCUGCUGUGUGCAAUCAUCGGAGCUGUCCAGAUACACAUGCAUAGUGAAGCAUGACAGGCGAGUUCCCCACUGACCCAUGAUGCUAAACAGACAAAUGUAGGGUGAGGCUACAAAUGACACAAGAUAUAAAAGAUGCAGCCAAAAUAAAU
Long non-coding RNA from Amphiprion ocellaris (clown anemonefish), 456 nucleotides. NCBI's taxonomy places the organism in Eukaryota, Metazoa, Chordata, Actinopteri, Pomacentridae. The record is from Ensembl.